RNAcentral lists this ribosomal RNA (169 nucleotides) under Gagea fragifera. Its description in RNAcentral is "5.8S ribosomal RNA". It matches the Rfam family "5.8S ribosomal RNA". From Rfam's summary of the family: 5.8S ribosomal RNA (5.8S rRNA) is a component of the large subunit of the eukaryotic ribosome. The record is from RNAcentral. Lineage: Eukaryota; Viridiplantae; Streptophyta; Magnoliopsida; Liliales; Liliaceae.
AUUAAGACUCUCGGCAACGGAUAUCUCGGCUCUUACAUCGAUGAAGAACGUAGCGAAAUGCGAUACUUGGUGUGAAUUGCAGAAUCCCGUGAACCAUCGAGUCUUUGAACGCAAGUUGCGCCCGAGGCCUUCGGGYCGAGGGCACGCCUGCCUGGGCGUCACGCCUCGC